CAUGAUUGGCUGGGCAGGCCCUCUUGCAGCGCGGGCGUGGAAGGCUUUAGAAUAAAAGUACAGUUGUGCUUUUAGUGACUGUCAGCAUCAAACCGCUUUGAACCCAGACACACAGCAGCUUCGUGGCGCUUUUCUUUCACGUCCCGCUAUGUCCUCAGACAGUACCAUGGACUUGGACUUGGAGCUUGGUGAGUUGCUCCAGGAGUUCCAGGAUGUGGUGGAGGAGCUGAAGGCCCCUUCUCAAAGCAGACCGCAUGCUUACCAGAAAGCACUGCACGAGGCCAAAACUCUCACAGGGCUGAGUGAAGACAGUGGAGUCGAGGACUCAGAUUACAGCAGUGAACCAUCUAUGGGGAACAGUUUGAAUGCCAGUGAGGAGGAGCUCCACACAGCAGGAAUAACGCUGGCAUCAAAAGCCAAGCUGGGAGACACAAGUGAUCUUGAGAGUUUUAUCGACAUGUUGGACCGGGAACUUGCUGAGAUGUGAACGGAGAGCAAAAGUGAGCCACGUACAAUAAUGGAGGGGGGGAUAGGGAAUAGGCUGGGGGCGACACGACUGGCUACUGCUGAGCAGAAAGAGAGAUAUACACCAGAGCAGAUCUGAUGGAGCAAAUGGUCCCCUCGCCGCUCCGGGGGAAAAGGUUAACAUCCGAAAUUAAAAGGGCAGUCCAUUCCGAAAAUGCAAGAACUCCCACAGACCCCCGGCGAUGCUGCGUCCAGCCAGCAAAGACAACGUCUCCCUGCAGCAUCAGAUCCAGGAUGUGUGACAUAUUCCUGAAAUGAGACAAAGCUUCCAUCUGUUUGGGCAUAUGACAAAAAAGAAAGAAAAAACACAGCAAAAACACUGCCUGGAGUAUAGAAAGCAUGUUUAUCCCACAUAAAAAAAAAAAAUCCCAUAAGUGCAAUGCCCAGAAAGGGCUCUAAAUCCUCACGGCUGUGUAGUUUUGAAGAAAGCUGAGCUUUGUCUGGAUCAAAAUCUUAGAUGGCACAAAAGUUUUAGGCUAAUUUCAAAGUAAUUUUAAGUAGAAGGGCAUUUCUGGUGUACAGGUCUUUAUGAUAUUUGUUUUUUUUUAAUAAUAUAUAAUGUAUAUACAGAUGAAUGCAUGUAAAAUAAAAAGAGAUUUGUAAUGAAUUUGAUGUUUUCUAUCCAUCCAUCCUUCCUUCCAUUUAUCCUUAUUAGGGUUGCACGGGAGCUGGAGCCUAUCCCAGCUACCAUAGGGCGAGAAGUGGGGUACACCCACCCAGGUUGGCAAUAAGAUGCAGGGC
Molecule: long non-coding RNA, 1266 nt
Organism: Oreochromis aureus
Lineage: Eukaryota; Metazoa; Chordata; Actinopteri; Cichliformes; Cichlidae
Source: Ensembl